ACCUGUCCCGCCCCGACGCCGUGGCCAGCCCUGCGACAAGGCUGGACUGGGCGGGGGGCUGAGGUGGGCACCGGGCUGCCGCUGGCUCCCACACUGCCCGCUGUGCCCGCUGCCCCAGCCACCCCUGCUGCCGGAGCCUCCUACCUGGGCCGCAACGGCCAGGAUCGCAAAGAAAUCCCUCCCCUCGGUGCAGCUGCGGGCACAGAGAUCCCAGCAAAGUUUGAAAGAGGAUGAGAUUCAGUGCACUAAACUCACCAUUCUAAGGAUCAGCCACUUCCAAAGGCUGGGGUGGUGCAUCAAAGAGAAGCCAGCUGUGCCCCAGCUCCGUGAGGGGUG
Molecule: long non-coding RNA, 336 nt
Filed under: Homo sapiens (human)
Lineage: Eukaryota; Metazoa; Chordata; Mammalia; Primates; Hominidae
Description: non-protein coding lnc-C8orf89-5:2
Source: RNAcentral